RNAcentral lists this small nucleolar RNA (139 nucleotides) under Dichanthelium oligosanthes. RNAcentral's name for it is "Small nucleolar RNA Z247". It matches the Rfam family "Small nucleolar RNA Z247". Rfam says of the family: Z247 is a member of the C/D class of snoRNA which contain the C (UGAUGA) and D (CUGA) box motifs. Most of the members of the box C/D family function in directing site-specific 2'-O-methylation of substrate RNAs. Lineage: Eukaryota; Viridiplantae; Streptophyta; Magnoliopsida; Poales; Poaceae. The record is from Rfam by way of RNAcentral.
CCAAUAGAAGAUGAGGAGAUGAUCACUUAUAUACAUAAUGAUUUACAUGCAGAUUUCAACCCUUUUGUACCUGCUGUUGUAACUAGAGUUGAACCUAUUACUGUCUUUGAAUUAUACUCACAGCUUGAGAGUUUUGAAA